RNAcentral lists this transfer RNA (72 nucleotides) under Bos taurus (domestic cattle). It matches the Rfam family "tRNA". From Rfam's summary of the family: Transfer RNA (tRNA) molecules are approximately 80 nucleotides in length. Their secondary structure includes four short double-helical elements and three loops (D, anti-codon, and T loops). Further hydrogen bonds mediate the characteristic L-shaped molecular structure. tRNAs have two regions of fundamental functional importance: the anti-codon, which is responsible for specific mRNA codon recognition, and the 3' end, to which the tRNAs corresponding amino acid is attached (by aminoacyl-tRNA synthetases). tRNAs cope with the degeneracy of the genetic code in two manners: having more than one tRNA (with a specific anti-codon) for a particular amino acid; and 'wobble' base-pairing, i.e. permitting non-standard base-pairing at the 3rd anti-codon position. RNAcentral also lists the same sequence under 5 other names. Lineage: Eukaryota; Metazoa; Chordata; Mammalia; Artiodactyla; Bovidae. The record is from Rfam by way of RNAcentral.
UCCCUGGUGGCUCAGAGGUUAAAGCGUCUGCCUCCAAUGCAGGAGACCGAGGUUCAAUUCCUGGGUGGGGAA